RNAcentral lists this ribosomal RNA (435 nucleotides) under uncultured bacterium. Its description in RNAcentral is "bacterial SSU rRNA". It matches the Rfam family "Bacterial small subunit ribosomal RNA", at positions 28 to 458 of the family's 1533-position model. The record is from RNAcentral.
GACGAACGCUGGCGGCGCGCCUAACACAUGCAAGUCGAACGGAGCUUAAAGAGCUUGCUUUUUAAGCUUAGUGGCGAACGGGUGAGUAACGCGUGAGUAACCUGCCCUAGAGUGGGGGACAACAGUUGGAAACGACUGCUAAUACCGCAUAAGCCCACGGUACCGCAUGGCACUGAGGGAAAAGGAUUUAUUCGCUUUAGGAUGGACUCGCGUCCAAUUAGCUAGUUGGUGAGGUAACGGCCCACCAAGGCGACGAUUGGUAGCCGGACUGAGAGGUUGAACGGCCACAUUGGGACUGAGACACGGCCCAGACUCCUACGGGAGGCAGCAGUGGGGGAUAUUGCACAAUGGGGGAAACCCUGAUGCAGCGACGCCGCGUGGAGGAAGAAGGUUUUCGGAUUGUAAACUCCUGUCGUUAGGGACGAUAAUGACGGU